GGGCGCUUAGCUCAGUUGGUUUAGAGCGUCUGCCUUACAAGCAGAGGGUCGGGGGUUCGACUCCCUCAGCGCCCA
Molecule: transfer RNA, 75 nt
Filed under: Alloprevotella sp.
Lineage: Bacteria; Pseudomonadati; Bacteroidota; Bacteroidia; Bacteroidales; Prevotellaceae
Also listed under: 2 other names
Description: tRNA-Val
Rfam family: tRNA
About the family: Transfer RNA (tRNA) molecules are approximately 80 nucleotides in length. Their secondary structure includes four short double-helical elements and three loops (D, anti-codon, and T loops).
Source: RNAcentral